GUUGGCAUAUCAUCUCUUGGUAUAUACCUUCUUCUUUUCCCAGGAGCUCUACCAGUAGCCGGUGCAGAAGACGAGAGGGACCUAAGCGCUGCAUCUCAUUCCUCUCUUUUCAUCUCCAAGAACUCCUACUCGAGCAGUAACAGCGGGUAGGGAAAGAGCGCUUACUUUUACACCGGCUAGGAGAAGAGUAAGGGCUGAUUCAACUAGCACUGGUUACG
RNAcentral lists this unclassified non-coding RNA (218 nucleotides) under Hevea brasiliensis (rubber tree). The record is from RNAcentral. Lineage: Eukaryota; Viridiplantae; Streptophyta; Magnoliopsida; Malpighiales; Euphorbiaceae.